CCCUAUUUCAAGUAAUUGGCGGGAAAACGUACCUCAGAAAAGAUGAUGAGAUCCGCGGAACAUGGGAGCGAACCAAAUUAGGAUUUUAUUUCCUUGGAGAGAAAUUGGUGAACUGGAAGGAAAAUUGGAUGACAUGCUGCAGUCUGGGCCUCAAACCUUUAGCUGUGACGAACUAUCUUUGGGACCAUUUCGACAAAGCAAAUAACUCCGUGCAGAAUGUGGUUUACUGGUCGGCAAUGACUCGAGCAGGUUGCCCUCUUCACUUUGAAAACUUCCUCCACAACGCAUCAGAAUUGAACCAAAAUAAAAUUUAUGGAAUCCGAAAAGGGGGGAAUUGCGUGGCCGUUUCGUUCCGAGAAAAAGGAACCAGUGAGGAGAGCGCUGCUCUAGUGGUGAAAACCACCGUCUGCGCAUCCAAACUGCUGUUGGG
Long non-coding RNA from Cloeon dipterum, 430 nucleotides. RefSeq lists it as uncharacterized. The record is from RefSeq and is a predicted model, not a curated record. NCBI's taxonomy places the organism in Eukaryota, Metazoa, Arthropoda, Insecta, Ephemeroptera, Baetidae. The transcript is spliced from 4 exons.